Syngnathoides biaculeatus (alligator pipefish) is the source of this 628-nucleotide long non-coding RNA. RefSeq lists it as uncharacterized. The record is from RefSeq and is a predicted model, not a curated record. NCBI's taxonomy places the organism in Eukaryota, Metazoa, Chordata, Actinopteri, Syngnathiformes, Syngnathidae. The transcript has 3 exons.
CUUAAUAGUGUUUUUAGAUUUUUAUGGACAAUUACGAAUUUUCAGCGGCGCUGCCAUUUUCCCGAGUCACAUGACCUACGUGGGCACAUGUGACGUGUUACGUGCCGCAACAAAGGCUCGAUUCCGUGGGACACCAUACUUCCAUAUACAGCUAUGAGCAGUCGCUCAGAUAUUUUCUCAUCUUUCUAUUUCUGAAAAAUGUGCUUGUUUCUGCCCUACUGAUAUGUGACUGUUUUUCAUGCUUUUUAGGCUAUGGAUUUGGUUCCUGGAUUGGCUUUCAGAGGGGUGAAAUGCCACAUCAUCGGUGGUAGAGAUGAUCCAGAUCUUCUUCCGGUUGGUCGUAAUUCUUGUCGGACUUCCAUUCAAAAGGAGCGGCAACGUUGUCAUCGUAGUUUUCAUGGUAACUUGGGAACCGGCUUUGCACGUCAGGAUGGUACCAGUCAUCCAAAUCCACUUCAGGUUCCAGGUGACGUCUCACCAGUUCCAGCGACCUCAUCCCAGUCCUGCUCAGGCUCGUCUUCAUCUUCAGCCAGAAGUUUUUGCAAAGAGGGAUGCUGCACAUCGUCCAGGUCUGCUUCUGCCAGCGGAAUGUGUUGGGCAGCCACAUCCUCCCAUAUCUUCAUUUCAG